GGGUCGUUAGCUCAGUUGGUAGAGCAGUUGACUUUUAAUCAAUUGGUCGCAGGUUCGAAUCCUG
This 64-nucleotide transfer RNA is filed under the name Cronobacter sakazakii. RNAcentral describes it as "tRNA-Lys". It matches the Rfam family "tRNA", at positions 1 to 62 of the family's 71-position model. From Rfam's summary of the family: Transfer RNA (tRNA) molecules are approximately 80 nucleotides in length. RNAcentral also lists the same sequence under 5 other names. Lineage: Bacteria; Pseudomonadati; Pseudomonadota; Gammaproteobacteria; Enterobacterales; Enterobacteriaceae. The record is from RNAcentral.